Non-coding RNA from Camelina sativa (false flax), 167 nucleotides. The record is from RefSeq and is a predicted model, not a curated record. Lineage: Eukaryota; Viridiplantae; Streptophyta; Magnoliopsida; Brassicales; Brassicaceae.
UUUGUAAAUGCUGGUUUUGGUCAGGACAAACUAAUGACAGUACCUUCAGACUCCACCACCGGAUCUUCUGGAAAUUGGCUCUUCAAAAAUAAAGAACAUGGCAAGACUAGUGCAGCUGCUAGUUUGGGUAUGAUUCAACUUUGGGAUGUGGACUCCGGACUUUCCCA